AGGCAAGCCUGCCGAGUAGGGAGGCGGCGAUGAGGCAGAGGAAGACACGCCGGGAGCCGGCCUGGCCCUGGGCGAUGCCGCAGAAGGCGGAAGCGAGGUCCGCAAAGCCAGAAUGGAUCGGCGUGGUUGUGAGCCGCCGGCUUCAGGUGGGCGGUGGAUGUGGUCGGCCGGCCGAGGAGGCGUGCAUCCUUGGUCGCCAAGCCUCGCGGAACGGUGCCGUCGCCUGGGCCGGCGAGACACUCGCCUCCCCUGACAUGGGCCGGUGAUGGCGCAUGGGAGAUGGGGUGCGAGCGGCAGGAGGCGCGGGAGACGACGAACAUCACCUUGGGAGCGCGUGGGGGGAGGGGUGCAGGCAGGCUCGUAGUGGCCGCAUCCAGCAGGGCGAACUUGGUCGCCGACGCCCCCUUCCUCGGUGUUCCAGCCGCGAUAGCCGUUGCCGCAUCGGGUCCUUCGCGUCGCGCCAUUGCCGUCAGCGCAGCACCCGUCGCUGCUGCACCCAACGCCCUCACCGGUGCGAGCAGCUCCCCUGAGGAUCAGCCCCCACUCCCGCCGUUGCAAUCACUCAGAGUAAAAAGAGGACUGAGAGCAGGGAUGAGAUGAGU
This 602-nucleotide ribosomal RNA is filed under the name Triticum aestivum (bread wheat). RNAcentral describes it as "partial small subunit ribosomal RNA". The record is from RNAcentral. Lineage: Eukaryota; Viridiplantae; Streptophyta; Magnoliopsida; Poales; Poaceae.